Molecule: long non-coding RNA, 3920 nt
Organism: Amphiprion ocellaris (clown anemonefish)
Lineage: Eukaryota; Metazoa; Chordata; Actinopteri; Pomacentridae
Source: Ensembl
UAUUUUGUUAUGUUUAUAGAAAUUUUAAGUCAAGUAUUAAUGCAGAUGUUGCAUUGAAAGUUCACUGUCACUGCAGACAGAUACAGAAUUGUUUGUAUUUGAGUUUUAUGACUGUUUGAUCCAGACUGUUGAUGUAUAAACUGGGCAACAACCAGUGAACACUAGUGUACCCACAUUAUAUUUAAAUCCAACCCAAGUCAUUUUGUUCUUGAACUGGGUCUGCUGAUGAGCUAGCUUAACUACAGCUAACAUGACUCUCAAAAAAUCAUCUUUAUUUCUUCGACAGGUUUUUUUCGUGUCACAGCCUGAUGCAGCAGCUGAAACGAAUCAUGGUGGAUAAAAAAGUCUACAAUAUAAACUAGUGAUGCUAAACGCUAACUAGCUUAGCUUAGCAGAGCAGUGACAGAUGCAGCUUCUGAUUCCAGUGAAAUGUUAUUUAAAGAUGCAACAAGAACACGCUCCAACUUUAUUUUUAACCUCCAAUUUUUAAAGUUUUGUAAGUUUCCUGAAUUUAGGGGUUUAGUUGAAAGUUCUGGGAAGAAAAGCGGCUCAUGAGGCUAAUCUGUGGACCUUCAGAGAGAUUAUUCUGUCAAACACAAACAUCAAGAAUGAAGAAAUGAUUGAAAACCUGACCUGAAAGCACCAGAUCUUCUAGAUCUUCUGUUUGAUUGGUUGAGAUCUGUCCUGUUGCUGAAAGAGGCUGCAGAUGUUCUCAUGGUUCUACCUGAACUCCACCAGCGGGUCGAAGCCUUUGGACCCUGGUUCCCUUUAAACCUCACUGAGUGGCUCCUCUCAGCCGGGCUCCAGGAAACAUCCAGGUCCACGGUCCCCCCUCUGGUACCGGACUGGUCAAGGUCCACAGUCCCUUCUCUGAUACUGGACUGGUCCAGGUCCACGGUCCCCCUUCUGGUACCGGACUAGAUCAGGUCCACAGUCCCCCCUCUGGUACUGGACCGGUCAAGGUCAUCAGUCCCCGCUCUGAUACUGGACUGGUCCAGGUUCAGGUCCCCACUCUGGUACAGACCCAUAUCAGGUCCACGAUUCCCCCUCUGGUCCUGGACCGGUCCAGGUUCAGGUCCAUGAUCCCCACUCUGGUACCGGACCAUAUCAGGUCCACGAUCCCCACUCUGAUACUGGACCGGUCAAGGUCCAUGGUCCCCCCUCUGGUAGUAUACCGGUCCAGGUUCAGGUCCAAGAUCCUUCCUCUGGUACCGGACUAGAUCAGGUCCAAGAUCCCCACUCUGGUACCGGACUAGAUCAGGUCCAAGAUCCCCCCUCUGGUACCGGACCAGGUCUAUGAAGCCCUUUAGAGUAACGAAGUCCAGCAGCUCUGGGGAAGGUAGCAGCAGAAGGUCCGGUUCUAUGGGAGCCCAGCUGAGAGCUCAGUGUCAGAGUGCAUGUUUACAGGAACUCUACAUGUAUGACAGAAUGUACAUAUGUGUUUAUAUCUGACCUUCAUCACCGCAUGCCUGCUGAAACACACGGAACAAAGAGGCGACUCAUCAAACUCCACUGUUAUCUGUUGAGCUUUUCAGUUUCUAUGUUUUUAUUUUUUUGCAGCAUGUUUGAGAAAAAGGCAGCAGAGACGAGAUGAGGUUCUGUUGAAAGGUUCCUGUUAGAACCUCAGCUGGGUCCGAUCAGACGCCCACGCUCCGCUGAUCCUCCGGUUCAUGUCCUUUGAAGUAAUCAAUGGUUUCAGCAAAUCAAUGGAGCCACUGUGAGCUCGCAGGAAAACCAUCCAAUCAGAGAGAAGAUGAAUAUUUAUGGUUUAAGCUCCAGGAACAAGAAUGUAGAACCUUCAUUCAGCAGCAGAUAAAGGUUGAUGGGGUUAGAGAACGUUUAUUAGCAAACAAGGAGGUGAAAUCUGAAGUUCUCUCGAAAGAUAGAACACCACAUCCCAUAAAAAACAUCCGAACCGGUUCCUUCCCUCUGUCUGACGCAAUAAACCCAAACCUGCUGGUUCUCACAUGAAGGAACAUUCAUUUUAAUGAGUUUAAAGGUUCCGUAACAUCAGCUACAAAUUCUAAUGAUGUUUUAAAGUUUUAAUCCAAUAUUUAUCUUUUAAUUAAUGUUCCACAAAUGUUCUGAGAAAGCUCUGCGAAUGUUUUCCACAUGAAGCUCCCAAAACAUUCUUCUUAAAGGUUUGAUAGCUAAAACCUUUUGGACCAUUCCACCUUAAUGUUCUCAAAACUGAAUGUUACACCGAGAACGUUUUCCUUUUGUUACCAUGGAACACUGUGGGAACGUUUCAUAGAUUCUAUACUGUGUUCCCUCGACAACAUCCUGUCAUCUGAGGUCUCCAGAACAUUUUUUGAAUGUUGCAUUGAGAACGUUCCUCUGUUGUUAUCACUAUUCAAAUGUUUUAUAGAAAAACGUUCUAUCAUGUGUUCCCUCAACAAGUAAGCUAAAUGUUCCACCUUUAAUAUAUCAGAUUAGAGGAAUGCUAUAAAAUGUUCCAUCUUCUGAGGUCUUGAUAACAUCUAGAAAAGAUUCUUUCAAUGCUGGGUUCAGAAUGUUCCUCCUCUGUUAUCAUAGAAUAUUCUGAGAAUGUUUUAUUGAAGAACAUUCUGUAAUGGGUUCCUUCAACAACAUCCUCAGAACAUUACAGGAAGAAUGUUCCACAUUUGUUAAUUUACGCUUUAUAAAGAACCUUCCUUCAUCUUGUGUUAUUUUCAACAUCUUGAAAAUAUUUUCCAAAUGCUGUUUUGAGAACGUUCCUCCUUUAUUAUCACUUUUCAAAUGUUUAAAGAAGAACGUUCUAUGAUGUGUUCCCUCAACAAAUAAGCUAAAUGUUCCACCUUUAAUACAUCACAUUAGACGAACAUCAUAAAACAUUCCAUCUUCUGAGGUUUUGAUAACAUCUAGAAAAAGCUUUUAGAAUGUUGGCUUGAGAACGUUCCUCCUUUGUUAUCAUGGAACAUUUUGAGAAUGUUUUAUAGAAGAAUGUUCUAUAAUGGGUUCCUUCAACAACAUCCUCAGGACAUUACAGACAGAAUGUUCCUCUUCUGUUGAUUUAUCACAUUACAGGAACAUUUCAUGAGAACGUUCUGUCAUCUGAGGUCUCCAGAACAUUUUUUUUUUUAUGUUACGUUGAGAACGUUCCUCCUUUGAUGUCACUGGUGAAAUGUUUUCUAGAAGAACGUUCUAUGAUGUGUUCCCUCAACAAAUAAGCUAAAUGUUCCCCCUUUAAUACAUCAGAUUAGAGGAACGUUCCAUCCACAUCGUGAGCUGCAGAUGAACCUGAUUGAAGCUGCUGGAGGUUGAAUGUUUGAUCAGAUCCAUCUUUGUUCUUCUGUUCUGUUCUUCUUGGUUCCACUGGACUCAUAUUCACUAAUAAAUAAAUCAAACUAGAAAUGCAGCAGAUGUUUUAAUCCAUGUGUUUCUGGUUAGUGACACUAAUAAAUAAAACUCUGAAACCAUCAGGCAGGAUGAGGGAGCUGCAGCUGAGGAAUAGUCACAUCUACUGGAUGUUUGGAGAGUUUCUGACCCCGUCCAGCCUCCGUACCUCCUAGACUGGUUCUGUUGAAUGUUUUUGACCCCGUCCAGCCUCCGUACCUCCCAAACUGUUCCGUGUUUCUGGGUCAGAGCCAGCGUGUUGUUCUCUACAUGUAUGUUAGAGCAGCUUCAGGGCUGAUGGGAUUAAUUCUCUCUGACAUCCCCCCGAGUCAUCAUGUGAUCGGAUCGAUACCGAAUCAAUACGGGAUCAAUACGUCUGAUCACAUCACUGUCUGCUCUCAUGGACCUCACAUUUCAGCAAAUAAACACCAAGAGCUCAGGCUGCUGGUUGGCCUUUUUAUUUCUUUAACCAUCAAACACAGAAUCAACUAAUCAAUAAUAAUAAUAAUAAUAAUAAUAAUAAUAAUAAUAAUAAUAAUAAUAAUAAUAAUAAUAAUAAUAAUAAUAAUAAUAAUAAUAAUAAU